UCCAGGACAUAAUCCAAGUUCAUGAUGCAUUGAAGAAAGAAGUGUAAACCACGGACACCUAUCACACUGAGACAACAUGUGGCUCUUUUUCCAGUGUGAUCUCACGGAGAAUUCCCAGGUCAUACAAGGUUUCUGAGCUUGAGUUUCCCAUCUCUCAAAAGGGGAUUCCGGAUUCAUAGUAUUAGGAUGAGGCUCAAAGUACUUUCUCUGUAUGAAAAAGUUUUUUACCUGGAAGAAGAUUGAUACAGAGUACUACGAUGUGGUCCUCAGGGCAAAUCCCUCAUGCGCCCCCCUUCUGGGUCCCUGGUGGUUGAAAACACCUUAUAAGGACCCUCCUCUUUCUUGCUCACUGAAUCUUCUAGAGUCCCCAGAAAACAGAAUUUCUCUCUCUACCUUCGUCUCUGCCCAAAGGAAACUGCGGCAUUUUCAUGAUCUUUUGCCUUAUAGCUGACAUCUCCCUUCUUAUACUAAUGCAAAGAGGCUGCUCACAGAAAUUCUAAAGGUCAGAAUUCCUAAUCACACACUCCCACUGCCUUGCAAUCUUAUCAACUUAUGGCUUAUGAAUGGCAUUCCCACAGGAAAGACUGUUCAUAAAAGCUGGCUCAAGCCCCAGGGCCACCUCCCUUUCUUACCUUCCUCUUGCUUCCUGUAAGGCCUUGGGUGUUUGAUCCCCAGGUUAUGGGAUUGGGGAGCACAACCUGGAGGACCCAGAACUGGAGCAAGUUCCUGUCUUUUUUUUUUUUUUUUAAGAUUUUAUUUAUUUAUUCACGAGAGAUACAGAGAGAGAGAGAGAGAGAGGCAGAGACACAGGCAGAAGGAGAAGCCGGCUCCUCAAGGAGCCUGAUGUGGGGACUCAAUCUCGGGACUCUGGGAUCACGCCUUGAGCCCAAGGCAGAUGCUCAACCACUGAGCCACCCAGGCAUCCCAGCUGGUUCCUGUCUUGGUCACACAGGGCUCAAGACCCAGAGGUGAGUCAAGCCAGAUUCCCUGCAGGCAAGCCUAGGUCCAAAUACCGGGUUGCCUGCAUUGUAACCCUAUUGCCUUACCGGAUGCUAUUCUAUGGCCAAUUUUAUUCUUGCAACAUUGUGAGGUAAGAAUAAUUUGCCAGCCCUCCAGAUUAGAGAAUGGAGGGACAGAGAGGUUCAGCGACCUAUCUGAAGUCACACAGCUGCUAAGUGGCAGAGCUGGAAUCCAAAUGGGAAUCCGCCUGAUGCUCAACCUCAGUUUCUUUCCCCCCCGUAACAGACUACCUCCAGAACGUCAGAUGAGAUAAGUUUGUGGGCUGACUCCUAGAGCUAUUUUGCCUUGGUAGUAAAGGCAUUUUUCAAAUGAGGGUAGAGUAUUAAUGAAUAAUUUUCCUAGGAGGUUUGAAUGCUGGGAAUGCUGGAAUGCUGGCGAGAGCAUUAAAUGAGUACCAGCAGCUGCAUCAGCUGGGCAGUUUUCCUCCUGAGUCUUCUGGUCUCAAGGACCCAGAGGUUAUUUCUGAUUACAUCAGCAGCCGUGCAGAUCCAGUUCAGGAAUCUUGAAACCACAUAUGUGACUCACAUGUCGUUGUUAUAACAGUAGGAAACACAUUAACUCGGCUUUAAAGAGCGUUCAUUGAAAAGUUGGCCUCUCAGAAACCAGUUUCUUGGUUUGUGAAGCACACCAUCUAAGCCUUCCUCCUGACGACAGUGUCAUAGCGUGAGCCUGUAUGUUAUGUGACCUGACAGCUUAACAAGACUAUAUUUGCUUUUGCAGACUCUGUGUUCCAGCACAUUCCACUGAACUUAUAGCAGGUGACUAAUGGGUAUUUCACCACCAUGACAUUUUGAGUUGCAAGCCAUAGGGAUGGUCAUUUGAUUGAAUAAUACAUUAAAAAUGUUUUUUAAGACUUGUAUUACAAAAUCAUUCUGUGGAAAUCAUAAGCAAAAGUUCUUGCAGUCUGCUUGGGGACGGACAAUGCUGCUGGUCUAUUACAGACAUUUCUGAAUGAAGGAAGGUGUCGCUUCUCUUUUCCAGGGAGCUUUGUGUGGGUGAUUUUGCAUAUGCACAGGCGCUGCCUUCCAAGAAAUGCCAGCAUCUGCACAACUGGGAGGCAUGCUCUGGUUUGCUCAUAAAAGUCUUUAUCGUCUUUGAGAAAGUGAUUCAACUGGUCUUGAUGGGCAGCCGGAUAGAAAAAUCUAGUGAAAGAGGGGACAUGACCAAGCUCAUAUGGACACAGAGGCUCAACAAACAUGGCUUUGCAACAGCCUCUAUAAAGUGGCUUCAAAAGAUUUAUUUGAACAGUGUCCAUCACACUGUGGAUGCAUGCCAAACAGCCCGUGUGGACCUAAACUGCAUUAUAUCUACUCAGUAGGGUGUGUGAUGAAGCAGAACUUUCUCAGGCCCACCCUACCCUGAGAACUCCAUUAAAAGUUUGUUGACCAUUUCCUACUAUAGAGAUACCACAUUAAAGCUACAUAAAGCCUAGGGGCCAAACUCACUUGGGGCGGGGGGACAUGGAUGAAUGAGUGGACAUGUUGAUACUCUCUCUGUCCGGAUCCCCUCAGAUUCCUUUUACAUUUCUAGGUACUCCUUCUCUGCUUCUGAUGCCCUUGUUUCUAACAGACAGCUCUCCUGGGAUACUGUGGCCAUUUUGCCCAAUAGCUCAAAGAGCUGGCUAUACCCAGGAGUUACACCACAUGCUGGGUGGUCCUUUGCCAAUGAUGAACUGUAGUGAAGAAUCCGAAUACUCAACUCCCCUGCCUUAAAUCUGGAUGUGCUCAGGUGUCAUUUCUACUUCAGAGCCUCCUGUAGGAUCAGGUGGGAGCUGGACUUACCCUGGAAUUGUACCCUUGUACAAUUGUGCGCCUUCCUCCCUUUUCCUCAUUUGUUUUUCUAUAGGCUCUUCUGGGGACAUUUCCCUAAUAAAUCACUUGCAUUUGAA
Long non-coding RNA from Canis lupus familiaris (dog), 2908 nucleotides. RefSeq lists it as uncharacterized. The transcript has 2 exons. Lineage: Eukaryota; Metazoa; Chordata; Mammalia; Carnivora; Canidae. The record is from RefSeq and is a predicted model, not a curated record.